AUAAUCUAGGUUAAGUGGGAUCACCCGCUGAGUUUAAAUAUAUCAAUAAGUGAAGGAAAAAAAACUUACUAAGAUUCUUCUAGUAAUAGCGAAUGAACUGAAAAGAGCCUAGCUUGAAAAUCAAGCACCUCCGAUGUAUAAAUUAUAGUCUGAAAAAAUGUCCUUAGUGAUGGACUAGGCCCAAGUCCCCUGGAAAAAGGCACCAAAAAGGGUAAAAGUUGUAUUAUGCUCGGACCCAAUCAGGUGGUAAAUUUUAUCCAAGGUUAAGUAAGGAUGAGAGACUGAUAGUAAAUAAGUGUCGUGAGGGAAAGAUGAAAAGAACUUUAAAAAAAAAUUAAAUAGUACUUGAAAUUGUUGAGAAAGAAGUAAAUGACGGUGGCUAUGCACCCUGAACGGAUGUAGAACAGUGAAAGUCGAUCUACCAAUCGACUCAAGGCAUGGACUAAUAUGAGUCAUGGUGACAGCUUAAGCCUGAGCUUUCAUUAUGCUCACAAAGACAUCUUUGUCAUGAUCAUAAAAUGUAGCACACACCGUUUCGACAUCCCUUGGCACCCACAUUCUCUCGAUAUCAGCCUAGGGCUCCCCAUCUAACUCAUUUUAAAAUACAGACCAAAGAGUCUGACAUGUGUGUAAGUCAAUGGGCUAGAAAACCUAUAAACCACAAGAAAGCUUAUUGGUAAGAUCUCUCAAAGGUGCACUACUAAUUGACCUUGAUCUUUUAAGAAAGGUUCAAGUGAGCAUGUCUGUCAGAACUUGAAAAAUGGUGAACUAUGCCUAAGCAAGAUGAAGCUAAAAAAAACUCUAGUGGAGGCUUAUAGCUAUACUGACAUACAAAUUGUUCAUCUAACUUAGGUAUAGAGGCAAAAGACUAAUCAAAUCAUCUAGCAACUAGUUCUCUUUGAAGUUUCUCUCAAGAUAACUGGAGCCCUUAGCAAGUUCUAUCGAGUAAAGCCAAUGAUUACAGAUAUUAGGGGCGCAAUGCGCUCAACCUAUUGUUAAACUUUAAAUAGGUAAGACAACGAUGUUGCUUCAUUGAGCUGUGCCACAAAAUCAAAAGCUCCAAGUUGGCCAUCUUUGAUAAGCAAAACUGGUGAUCUGAGAUGAACUGAAAGUCAGGCUAUAGUACCCAAUUACUUACUAACCUAGAACCCACAAAGGAUGUUGGUUGAUUAAGACAGCAAGACAAUGGUCAUGGAAGUCAAAAUCCACUAAAAGUAUGUAACUGUCCAAUCAACUAACCCUAAAAAUAGAUGAUGCUUAAGCACGCUACCUAUACUUAACCUUUGGGGUAAAGGUUAAGCCUCGAUGAGUAAGAAGGCAUAACGAUAAUUGCAAAACCUGGGGCACAAGCCCAGAUGGAAUGGCUAUUGAUGCAGAUAUUGGUGGUAGUAGCAAAUAUUCAAAUGAGAAGUUUGAAGGCCAAAUAGGGGAAAGGUUCUAUGUGAAUGGCACUUGCACAUGGGUUAGUUGAUCUUAAAGGAUAGGGGAAACUUGUCUAAUAGUGCGUCUAGUGUGAGCUUCGAAAGGGAAUCAAGUUAAAAUUUUUUAACCAAGAUAAGGUGAUUGAUGACAAUGUUAAAGAGUCCAAAGAUAUCGAAGGAGGCCUCAAAAAGAGUCAUCUUUUCUAUUUAAUGGCUUAUCUACCUUGAAAAUGGCUUAGCUGAAGGUAAAGUCCAGCAGUUAAAAGAGCACCAUAUGUUGUGUGGCGUCCAGUGUGCCCCUAAUGACCUUUGAAAAUUUGAAAGAUUAAGUGCCAUCGAUGCCCAAUCAUACUCAUAACCGUAUCAAGUCUCUUAGGUGAAUAGCCUUUAAUUGAUGGAACAAUAUAGGCAAGAAAAAUCAGUAAAAUGGAUUUGUGACCUCAGAAAAAAGAUUGGAUCUGAGGGUUGGGCAUGGGAGUUUCAAUCUCAUACCUGUCAGUUAUAGGUGCACUACUCGAGCUGCUCCCAUAGUGAGAGUAGGUUAUCGUGUGCUAGUCGAGGGAUGAACUAGGAAUGGCUCCCUUAGAGGCCUUUUUCAAGCAACGAAUAGUCAACUCAAAACUAGUAUAGACAAAAAAAAUCUACUGUUUAAUUAAAACAAAAUAUUACAAUGGUCACUGCAGAUGCUCACGCAAUGUAAUUUUUACCCAAUGCUUUAAAUGUCAAAGUAAAAAAAUUCAAUCAACGCGUGUAAACAGCGUAAGUAACUAUAAUUCUCUUAAAGUAGCCAAAUGAGUCAUCAUCAUAUUAGUGACACGUAUGAAUGGAUUAAUGAGAUUCUUACUGUCUUUAUCUACUAUCCAGCAAAACCAUAGUGAAGGAAAUAAGCUUGGCAAAAUCAGUAAGGAAAGAAGACCUUGUUGAGCUUGACUUUAGUCUAACUUUGUGAAAUAACUUGAGAGGUGUAGGAUAAGGGGGAACCUUUGGGUGAAAUUAAAAUACCAUUACUUUUAAUAUUAUUUUACUUAUUCCUUGAAUCAAAAGUGGGCAUGACCACUUCUUUUGGACCCAAAAUCAACCUUGAUUAAUUAAUCCGGAAAGAAAAUAUUGUCAAGUGGGGAGUUUUGUUAGGGUGACACAUCUAUUAAAAGAUAACGCAGGUGUCUUAAGAUGAGCUCAACGAGAAUAAAAAUCUCGUGUGAAAUAAAAAGGUAAAAACUCAUUUGAUAUUGAUUUUCAAUACGAAUACGAACAGUAAAGUAUGGCUUAUCGAUCUUUUAAACCUUUGAAAUUUGAUGCUAAAGGUGUCAGAAAAGUUACCACAGAGAUAAUUGGCUUAUGGCAACCAAGCGUUCAUAAUGACAUUGCUUUUUUAUCCUUUGAUGUCUGCUCUUCCUAUUAUUGUGAAGUAAAAUUCAUCAAAUGUUAGAUUGUUCACCCACCAAUAGAGAACAUGAGCUAGGUUUAAACCAUCAUGAGACAGGUUAGUUUUAUCCUACUAAUGGUAGCAUCAUAAUAGUAAUUCAACCUAGUACAAGAAGAAUCAUUAAUUCACACAAUUGGUCAUCGUGUUUAGUUGAAAAGCCAAUGACGUGAAGCUAUCUUAUGCUAGACUAUGACUGACACCUCUACAUCAAAAUUUGGUCUAGAAGCAAUGCACACACCUAUCAUUCUAUUGUUGACCCAUAGUAAGGGCCCAUGGCCCUUAAAGGCAAAUGUUGUAGGUGUAACCCCAUUAGCAAACAAGCUUCCUACCAAAUGAU
This 3184-nucleotide ribosomal RNA is filed under the name Durio zibethinus. RNAcentral describes it as "eukaryotic LSU rRNA". It matches the Rfam family "Eukaryotic large subunit ribosomal RNA". The record is from RNAcentral. Lineage: Eukaryota; Viridiplantae; Streptophyta; Magnoliopsida; Malvales; Malvaceae.